GAGGUUAUAGCUCAGUGGUAGAGUGCAUGCUUAGCAUGCAUGAGGUCCUGCAUAAUGAUCUCC
This 63-nucleotide transfer RNA is filed under the name Camelus bactrianus (Bactrian camel). It matches the Rfam family "tRNA". From Rfam's summary of the family: Transfer RNA (tRNA) molecules are approximately 80 nucleotides in length. RNAcentral also lists the same sequence under 2 other names. The record is from Rfam by way of RNAcentral. Lineage: Eukaryota; Metazoa; Chordata; Mammalia; Artiodactyla; Camelidae.